CUCCACCACACUUUUUCUUUCUUGUUUCACCAAUUAUAGUAAGGAUUAAGGAAGCCAAAAGUGCUAGCAUCACACUAAGGCCAUCAAGGGUGCAUCAAUCUUAAGCACAAGCUCCAAGAGGCUUACGCAUCAUCCCCUACUCCACCUCCAUUAAUCUUGUUGGUUCGAGUGACAGCCGGCGUUAGUACGACCCCGAGCGUUGUGUCAUCGACUCCUGAGACAGGUCUGGCUUGGCGCGAGGAUGGGUGAAGGCUGUUGGAAUUGUCAGUUGACCGUGUCUUUCUAUGUCUCAUGCUUAUCUUAUUGCUAUGACUCUAUAAGUUAUUAAACUCCCUGCUAUAUGUCUUCACACAUAUAGUAACGCAUCGCUGCACAACUCUGAUGAAUCUCUUUAUUUAAUUUGCUGUUGCCUGUAAUAUCCCAUAGGGGAAAAUACUCUCAAACCUUGCGAAGUCUCGAAUUAUGUUUUACCAAGCAAGUAAUUUAAUUUAGUCUUAAAGUCUUUCUUGAAAAA
Salvia miltiorrhiza (redroot sage) is the source of this 514-nucleotide long non-coding RNA. RefSeq lists it as uncharacterized. The record is from RefSeq and is a predicted model, not a curated record. Lineage: Eukaryota; Viridiplantae; Streptophyta; Magnoliopsida; Lamiales; Lamiaceae. The transcript is spliced from 3 exons.